GGAUGAAAACAAUCACAUGCUGGUGAGAGAGAUCGGGAAUGUGACCAAGGGGCUCGAGAUGACUUUCCAGUUUGCUGUAAAACCAGAAUUUAUGGACGUUUUCCUCCAGAGAGACACACUUCCAUUCCAACUUCAGCUGAACUUUAAAACCAGAGAUCAGGAGAAAGUGACUCGUGUUGUGACGGAGCAGCGUCCGGUGACCGUCUGCAGCCGUGUGUGUGCUGGGAGCCUGAACAUGGCGGUGCUGGGCGUCCACUGUGCUCAGCUGUGUGCCAGUUUA
Molecule: long non-coding RNA, 280 nt
Organism: Centropristis striata (black sea bass)
Lineage: Eukaryota; Metazoa; Chordata; Actinopteri; Perciformes; Serranidae
Exons: 3
Source: RefSeq, a predicted model, not a curated record